GCGUUCUUAGCUCAGCUGGAUAGAGCGUCUGGCUACGGACCAGAAGGUCGGGGGUUCGAAUCCUCUAGGACGCA
RNAcentral lists this transfer RNA (74 nucleotides) under Eubacterium sp. RNAcentral describes it as "tRNA-Arg". It matches the Rfam family "tRNA". From Rfam's summary of the family: Transfer RNA (tRNA) molecules are approximately 80 nucleotides in length. Their secondary structure includes four short double-helical elements and three loops (D, anti-codon, and T loops). Lineage: Bacteria; Bacillati; Bacillota; Clostridia; Eubacteriales; Eubacteriaceae. The record is from RNAcentral. RNAcentral also lists the same sequence under 3 other names.